CAGCAGUAGGGAAUCUUCGGCAAUGGGGGCAACCCUGACCGAGCAACGCCGCGUGAGUGAAGAAGGUUUUCGGAUCGUAAAGCUCUGUUGUAAGUCAAGAACGAGUGUGAGAGUGGAAAGUUCACACUGUGACGGUAGCUUACCAGAAAGGGACGGCUAACUACGUGCCAGCAGCCGCGGUAAUACGUAGGUCCCGAGCGUUGUCCGGAUUUAUUGGGCGUAAAGCGAGCGCAGGCGGUUUGAUAAGUCUGAAGUUAAAGGCUGUGGCUCAACCAUAGUUCGCUUUGGAAACUGUCAAACUUGAGUGCAGAAGGGGAGAGUGGAAUUCCAUGUGUAGCGGUGAAAUGCGUAGAUAUAUGGAGGAACACCGGUGGCGAAAGCGGCUCUCUGGUCUGUAACUGACGCUGAGGCUCGAAAGCGUGGGGAGCGAACAGGAUUAGA
Molecule: ribosomal RNA, 441 nt
Filed under: uncultured Streptococcus sp.
Lineage: Bacteria; Bacillati; Bacillota; Bacilli; Lactobacillales; Streptococcaceae
Description: bacterial SSU rRNA
Rfam family: Bacterial small subunit ribosomal RNA
Source: RNAcentral